RNAcentral lists this ribosomal RNA (486 nucleotides) under uncultured bacterium. Its description in RNAcentral is "bacterial SSU rRNA". It matches the Rfam family "Bacterial small subunit ribosomal RNA", at positions 21 to 507 of the family's 1533-position model. The record is from RNAcentral.
GGCUCAGGAUGAACGCUAGCGGCAGGGCCUAACACAUGCAAGUCGAGGGGUAGAGUUCUUCGGGACUUGAGACCGGCGCACGGGGUGCGUAAGCGUAUGCAAUCUACCUUAUACAGGGGAAUAGCCCAGAGAAAUUUGGAUUAAUGCCCCAUAGUGUUAUCGAAUCGCAUGGUUUGAUAACUAAAGUUCCAACGGUAUAAGAUGAGCAUGCGUCCCAUUAGCUAGAUGGUAAGGUAACGGCUUACCAUGGCUACGAUGGGUAGGGGUCCUGAGAGGGAGAUCCCCCACACUGGUACUGAGACACGGACCAGACUCCUACGGGAGGCAGCAGUGAGGAAUAUUGGACAAUGGGCGCAAGCCUGAUCCAGCCAUGCCGCGUGCAGGAUGACGGUCCUAUGGAUUGUAAACUGCUUUUAUACAGGAAGAAACACUACUUCGUGAAGUAGCUUGACGGUACUGUAAGAAUAAGGAUCGGCUAACUACGUG